UUUCUCUUCUCAAUCCACUCAAGCAUUUCUCCUUCUCGUUUUGGGGGGCAAUUUUAGCGGCCUCUGAGCAGCAGAUGAUCUGGAAAUGGAAUUCCCAAACAUACAUUAAUUUGCUCAAGAUUCAAAGAGCAGAAUUUAGGUCCUGAUUGGUUUGACCUAAAGGCACCUCUGAAACCACACUGUGGAACAUACCACGGGGAGGGAAGUGGAGGAACAUAAAACCGGAGGCGGCACAGCCAGAUAAGAAGGGCUGCAGCCCCCGGGCAGGAUGGCUGGGUCCUAUGUCAGCGCAGCGAAUGGGGAGCGAAUGAAUGUGGAGACGCGGAAUGUGCACCACAGGAAAGGAGGUUGAGAUGGUGCCGAGGUCUGCGCUUGGGAAACCGUGUGAUGUGUUCUGGGAGAGGGAAAAGACCAGAAAGAGCAUCGGGACAAGAAAAGAGAAGAAAAAAAAAACUGACAGGAAAAAUACGGAGGAUUUCCUUGCUGUGAGUUAGGAACGUGAACCCUACAUCAGUCCCACCAUCCUCUUGAACUUCUCAAUGGGAGACUUGUAAGGAUGCGAACACCACCUCAAAACUACAAGAGCCAAGCGACUCUGAAUGUCCUCAACAAAUUCUCCCUUUCACUGGAGAUGUAGAUCUAGGGAUGAAAGGCUGUAAACUUUUCUGGUUCACAGAGCAAACGUUCAAGAAUAAACACAGAUUUCUCGAUUUAGUCUAGACCCUUUAUCAGCUAAGAACAAUAUUUGGAGCAUGCUGCCUAGGAUUAAACACUGACUCUGGUUUUUACUAGCUGUGGGAACUUAGACAAAUUACCUAAGCUCUCUGUGCCUCUGUGAGCUUAUUUAUAAUAAUGGACAUAAUAUAAUGGGAGUAAAACAAAGAUUUAGAUGACAGAGAAAUUCUACCACUCACAGAUUCUCAGUGAAAGAACUACUCAAAGGUUUGCCUCAGGAAAAAAAACAAACAAAAAAACUAAAUCCAGAGAAGAGGAGACGAUUAAAAAAAAAAAAAAAUGGCAUUGACUGUGGAACUCCUAAUGGUAAAAAAGAAUGCAAAAUCUCCCCCAGCACUGAUGGCUUCUUCCUCAUUUGGUCUGUCUCUAUAAGGUCUCACUGAAUUAUAUAAUCUCUAUGCUUACUAACUUGACAUAGCAAAUGCAGUACAAGUUUCUUUGUGGCUCAAGAGAAAUAAGCUAUAAAUUUAUGAGCUGGAUCAAUAUGUUAUCCAUGUCAUUCACUAAGAGUGGGAGUGGCUGGAGAAGGUGCUGGGGAGGGAAGGAGGGAGAGGUGAGCAGGCACAAGCCCUAUGUGUUAUGCACUGUUUAGGUGCUGAAGAUAGUCCAUGAAUAAAACCAACCAAAGUUCCUCCCUU
Molecule: non-coding RNA, 1373 nt
Organism: Sus scrofa (pig)
Lineage: Eukaryota; Metazoa; Chordata; Mammalia; Artiodactyla; Suidae
Source: RefSeq, a predicted model, not a curated record